Molecule: long non-coding RNA, 577 nt
Filed under: Physcomitrium patens
Lineage: Eukaryota; Viridiplantae; Streptophyta; Bryopsida; Funariales; Funariaceae
Description: long non-coding RNA (PPAT_LNC000576)
Source: RNAcentral
UUUAGGAUUUGGUUUAAAAUUUGAUUUAAGAUUUAGGAUUUAGGAUUUGGUUUAGGAUUUGGUUUGGAAUUUGAUUUAAGAUUUAGGAUUUAGGGUUUGGGUUUAGGAUUUGAUUAGGGUUUGAUUUAGGAUUUUAUUAGGAUUUAUUUAGGAUUUAAGAUUUAAUUAAUUUGGGCCUAAACUUUGAAUGAAGUCCAAUAGGAUUUUAACUAGGAUUAAAUUAAUAUUGAAUGGAGAUAUAUUUGAGAGAUAUUUGUGAUUAUUCUAAUAUUUCUUUAAGAUUUUUUAUUAUUUCAUUGAAAUUUUUUUCAGGUUUUCUUUGAAUUUGAUUAAGCUUGUUUAGCAUUAUUGUAGUCUAUUAAAGUAUUGUUAGUAUUCUAUUAGAAUUAGGAUUUUGUUAUUACAAUUUCCAUUCUUCCUUCCACAACCACGUGCUCGGAGCAUUCUCAAGCAAGCCUUCAUGUAAUAUGUCAACGUUGUAGCAGGUCACGAAUGUUAUUUGUUCCUCGAUGGAUUUUCUAGAUGUAAUCAAGUUUAAAUUGCAUCGAAAGACUAGUUCAAGUCAACCUUUACUAUG